AACGAACGCUGGCGGCAUGCCUAACACAUGCAAGUCGAACGAGACCUUCGGGUCUAGUGGCGCACGGGUGCGUAACGCGUGGGAACCUGCACUUAGGUUCGGAAUAACUCCCCGAAAGGGGUGCUAAUACCGGACAAUGUCUUCGGACCAAAGAUUUAUCGCCUUUGGAUGGGCCCUCGUUGGAUUAGCUAGUUGGUAGGGUAAAAGCCUCCCAAGGCGACGAUCCAUAGCUGGUCUGUGAGGAUGAUCAGCCACACUGGGACUGAGACACGGCCCAGACUCCUACGGGAGGCAGCAGUGGGGAAUAUUGGACAGUGGGCGAAAGCCUGAUCCAGCAAUGCCGCGUGAGUGAUGAAGGCCUUAGGGUUGUAAAGCUCUUUUACCCGGGAUGAUAAUGACAGUACCGGGAGAAUAAGCUCCGGCUAACUCCGUG
RNAcentral lists this ribosomal RNA (433 nucleotides) under uncultured bacterium. RNAcentral describes it as "partial 16S ribosomal RNA". It matches the Rfam family "Bacterial small subunit ribosomal RNA", at positions 29 to 507 of the family's 1533-position model. The record is from RNAcentral.